Molecule: long non-coding RNA, 2599 nt
Organism: Colius striatus (speckled mousebird)
Lineage: Eukaryota; Metazoa; Chordata; Aves; Coliiformes; Coliidae
Exons: 2
Source: RefSeq, a predicted model, not a curated record
GGGCAAGAGGAAACAGCCCUGGGAAAAGCUGUCCCAGGAGAGGCUGAGGUUGGAGAUGAGGAACAAUUUCUUCCCAGAAAGGGUUGUCCAGCCUUGGCACAGGCUGCCCAGGGCCAUGGUGGAGUCCCCAUCCCUGGAGGGAUCCCAAAGCUGUGUCUGAGGGGCACACAGAGAUCAAGUUCUCCCGCUGCAUCCAGGUGGAAGAGCCGAGUACCACCCAGUGCACCUGCAGCUCCUCCCUCCGCCGCCAUCCCCGAGGGCCGGCACAGCGGUGCCACUGACACGGGGCACCCCGAGAGGUACUGGGGCUGAGCCGCGCUGCGGGGACCGACCUGGAUGAGGUCCAGGAUGCCCAGCUCGCUCUCGGAGGAGUCCACGCAGAAGACGAAGUACAGCGUGGCGUAGUGGCGGUAGAUGAGCUUGUAGUCCGAGCCGCCAAACAGGCUGCGGGACACAGCGAGAGGUGACGAGGGGCUGCGGGGCCCCGGCCGCGGGGACGCUCCCGGCCGCGCACCGCGUUACCUGCCGCACUCCAGGAAGUUGCAGAUGUGGUCGUCCCGCUUCAGCACCAGGUGGAAAGUCUCUCGGAUGAUCUGCUGCUGCACCUCCUCCGCCUGCAAGGACGCGACAAGCGUCCGUGGGGCUGCAGCACCCGCAGCCCCCGCCAAGGUCCCAGCACACACCAGCCCUGGGUGACCCGGCCGUGGGGGAGCCCGAGGGGCCGGGCCGGGGGUCCGCAGCCCCAUCCCCGCACGGCCGCCGCUGCCCUUCCCCCCGGCCUCGUACCAGGUGCUGGUAGAAGCGGACGAGCCGCGGCUUGCCAUGGUUGUUGAACACCAGGAUGGCGUUGAUCAUCACGGCGGCGGGGCCGGGCAGGGCCGGCGGCACAACCGGCCGCAGCCCCCCUGCAAGAAGCCCCUCGCCGGCCCCGGAAAGGCGGCGGCGGCGCUCGGGCCUGGUCCCGGGGAGCCGCGGGUGGGGAGCGAGGGAACGGGGAACGCUCGGAGCCGCUGCUGGGGGCUGCCCGGGCCCGGGGCUCCGCGGGGUUCCCGGGACGCGGGACGGUGCGGACGGGGCUCGCUGCGCCGGGGCUCCCGGGACGCGGGACGGUGCGGACGGGGCUCGCUGCGCCGGGGCUCCCGGGACGGUGCGGACGGGGCUCGCUGCGCCGGGCCGGGAAGGCGCCGCCAGGGGGCGACACCAGCGCCGGGUCACGGGAACCGCGCCGUCAGGACACGACCACUCUGACACGUGACCGGCUGCAAACCGGAAACGGAACUGCAACAGCGUGUCCUGAUUGCCUAAAGCGGAUCCGGCCUUCUGAUUGGUUGCUGGAGGCCCAGGCUUGUAACGGCACACUAUGAUUGGAUGACGGCGGCUUCGGGCUCUGCCCGUUCCGAUUGGCUGAGGAGCGUGACACUCAUAACGGAGCAUCGUGAUUGGAUACAGGCUCAAAGCUGCGCGCUCUGAUUGGCUGGUGGAGACCCCACACAGACACCGCUCAUCCUGAUUGGCUGCGAGAUGCCUCGGGCCAUGUGUGCGCAUCCUGCAUCGGGGCGGCCGCUUCACAAGCACAAGGUAACGCCCUGAUAGGCUGCAGAGGCUCAGCAUCGUCACUGCGCGUUCUGAGUGGCCGACAGGGCGUCGGGAUCGUAACUGCACGUGCUGAUUGUGUGCAGGGGCUGCAGGAUUAGAAGUGAGCACCCCGAUUGGCUGAACCGUCUUCAGGAUGGGAACCACACAUCUUCAUUUGCCGAAAGGGCUUCCGAAAUCUGUGCCCAUCCUGAUUGGCUGAGAGGGAUUCAGAGUUGUAACUGUGCUCUUUGGGUGAGAAGGCUUCGGGAUCAUAGGUACACAUCCUGAUUUCAGCGUUGUCACAGCACAUGCUGGGUGUCUGAGGGGGAUUCGGAGUGUUGCUGCACAUCCCGACUGGCUGAGGGUGAAUUCCUAAUUGUAACUGGUUCUUCUUGAGUGACUGGGGGGGCGUUGGACUCGUAACCGCACACUUUCAUUGGCUGACAGGGCUUCAGCAUCGUAACUCCACAUCCCCAAUGCUUGAGUCAGCUUUGGACUCGUAGUCUGCACACCUGAUUGGCUGACAGGGAACUGAUGAUAACUACACACCCUGGUUGGCUGAUGGGGAUUCAGGACUGCAACUGGGCAUCCCGAUUGUCUGAGGGCAAAUUCCCAAUUGUAACUGUGAUUCGUGAUUGCCUGGGGGCAGUUGGACUUGUAACCGCACACUUUGAUUGGCUGACAGGGCCUCAGCAUCAUAACUGAGUAUCCUGAUUGGCUGAUGGGGGCUGCAGAAUCAUAACUGGACAUGCUGAUUGCUUUAACAUUCUUCAGUAUCAUAACUGCACAUGCUGAUUGGCUGGUAGGUCUUCAGGACUCUAAUUGCGCCUCCUGAUUGGCUGAAGGUGAAAUCCUACUUGUAACUGGCACUCCUUGGGUGACUGAGGGGAAGUCAGAAUUGUAACCUCACACUUUGAUUGGCUGACAGAGCUUCAGCAUCAUAAUUGAGCAUCCUGAUUGGCUGGCAGGGCUUCAUUAUCAUCACUGCACAGCCUGAUUGCCAUAAAGGUCUUUAACAUCAUAA